Molecule: small nuclear RNA, 20 nt
Filed under: Arabidopsis thaliana (thale cress)
Lineage: Eukaryota; Viridiplantae; Streptophyta; Magnoliopsida; Brassicales; Brassicaceae
Description: snRNA_06545
Source: RNAcentral
UUUGGUCCCAAGGCUCGCUU